Phyllostomus discolor (pale spear-nosed bat) is the source of this 74-nucleotide long non-coding RNA. RefSeq lists it as uncharacterized. The record is from RefSeq and is a predicted model, not a curated record. Lineage: Eukaryota; Metazoa; Chordata; Mammalia; Chiroptera; Phyllostomidae. The transcript has 3 exons.
UCUGGCUCCUUCACUUAGCAUGAUGCUUUCAAGAUUCACCUGUGUUACAGCAUGUGGCAGCAAUGCUUUCUUUU